AGCGAACGCUGGCGGCAGGCCUAACACAUGCAAGUCGAACGGAUCCUUCGGGAUUAGUGGCGGACGGGUGAGUAACACGUGGGAACGUGCCCUUUGGUUCGGAACAACUCAGGGAAACUUGAGCUAAUACCGGUUGUGCCCUUCGGGGGAAAGAUUUAUCGCCAUUGGAGCGGCCCGCGUCUGAUUAGCUAGUUGGUGAGGUAACGGCCCACCAAGGCGACGAUCAGUAGCUGGUCUGAGAGGAUGAUCAGCCACACUGGGACUGAGACACGGCCCAGACUCCUACGGGAGGCAGCAGUGGGGAAUCUUGCGCAAUGGGCGAAAGCCUGACGCAGCCAUGCCGCGUGAAUGAUGAAGGUCUUAGGAUUGUAAAAUUCUUUCAGCGGGGACGAUAAUGACGGUACCCGCAGAAGAAGCUCCGGCUAACUUCGUG
This 433-nucleotide ribosomal RNA is filed under the name uncultured bacterium. RNAcentral's name for it is "partial 16S ribosomal RNA". It matches the Rfam family "Bacterial small subunit ribosomal RNA", at positions 29 to 507 of the family's 1533-position model. The record is from RNAcentral.